UCAUAAUUGCGUAAAAAUUAAAAGGGAGAGAAGAUAGAAUUGGGCAUCAAUGCCGCUUUCAAAAUCAAUGUACUAUUCCUAUUAACUCCCUUAGAAUCCGUGUCCGAAACCUCGAGUCAAACCUCAAUAAAACGAGCAACCCAACUUCGGUAUACUUUUUUUAAUUUCUAUUUUUCGCCAACAUGAAUCAAAUCACGAAGUAACGAUAAAACCGUACCCGAAUUCGCAUACCCGUCACUGUUCACGAUACUGUUCACUGUCACUGUUCACGACAUGUUCAAAAUACUGUUCACCGUCACUUUUCAUGACACUCCCAUCGUCCAGACCUUUUUCUCUCUCGAUUUUUUUCUCUCGCGCGAUUCCCUCUUCUCUCCCUCGAUUUUUCUGUUCUUGUGAGGAAGAUGAUGGGUGGAGAAUUGUUGUUGUGUGUUUGUGGAUUGUUAUCUUGCUUUCAAAGAUGGAAGAAAAAUGGUAGAUUUUUUUUUCUUGUGGGGAAGAUGAUAAGAAAAAAAUGAAAAGAAAAAAACCCCCUUUUGUCUUGUGUGUAAAAAAAUAUAUAUAUUAUUAAUGGAAAAAGAGAAAAAAAUCCCUAGUGGUCCCUUCUAUUUUUGUUAUUCUUUUUCUUUUCUUAUGUUAUCUUAGGUGAAUGAAUAUUAUUGGUGGCUUGUGGGAGUAUGUGUGUGGCAGGUGGAAAAGUUAGUGUGGCGUGUGGAAAGAUGAGGGUGGCGUGUGGAAAAAUGAGUAGGGCGUGUGCCUUUUGUAUGUAUCCAAUGAAAAAUGGUGAGUGCGGUGUUGAGGUGGCAUGGUGAGGUGGCAAAAAUGCUAUAUAUAUCCUUAUUUUCAAUUAUUUUUUUUGGGAGAAAUUAUCAAUUAAACAAAAGUAUGGCAAGAUGAAAUAAAAAUAAUAUAAAAUAAAAUAAAAAUAAAAAUAAAAUAAAAAUGAUUAAAAUAUUUUCGGGGAGGGGCAAAAUUACAUGUCUACAUCAUGCCUCCUUUCGAUGUAAACACAUGGUGUUUUCAUACAAAGCAGUAGACAACAGAAUUUUGUCUCUAUCUUUAUUCCAAAGCAGGGAGCAAGAGGAAAGCGGAAAACCAGGUCUUGACUUAGAACAACCUACCGACCCACGUUAUGAUGGAAUCAAGUGACAGGUAUCUCAAAGGAUUGGGUGGAGACGGACUAUACCGAGUUGGAGAGUUGAGUGAGGUUCGAUCGAGGUUCCGAUCAGCGGCUCUGUCAUUACAUCAAAAUGAAAAUUACAAGUUAAAAACGUAAAUAAAAUUACAAAAACGCUAUCUAUGUAGCUUUCCUUGACUCUUGACUCAAGUUUUAUCACCCUAUUCUUUAGGCGGGCUCCUGACUAUCAAUUUCUUCAACUUGUUGCUUGGCUUUCAAGUGUUUCACCCUGUUGCUUGACUUUCAUUUAUUUGCCCUGCUCUUCAGGCGGGCUUCUGACUUACCAUUUUUACUUCUGAUUUCAUCACCUUGUUGCUUGACUUUCAACUUUUUCACCCUGUUCUUUAGGCGGGCUCCUGACUUACAAUUUUCUCACCCUGUUCUUCAGGCGGGCUCCUGAAUUACAUUUUCCUCACCCUGUUCUUCAGGCAGGCUCCUAAAACCAAAAUCAAAACUAGAACGAAAAUUAUCCCAAAUAAAGAUUAUAAUAAAGAAAUUUUUCAUUUGCCAGACAAGUGAAGUUCCAAAAGAAGAAUUAAAUUUUGCCCCAAUUUAUCAUCAAAGGACUUUUGCGAAAGUCACAUCAUUAUAGGAAUCAAGGAGAAUGACUCGAGUAAAAGGUACGUCUUAUAGGAAUCAAAAGGAAUGACUCAACUAAAAGGUACGUCUUAUAGGAAUCAAGGAAGAUGACUCGACUAAAAGGUACGUCUUCUAGGGGUCAAAGAGGAGAUGACUCGACUAAAAGGUACGUCUUCUAGGGGUUACGGGGAAUGACUCAACUAAAAGGUACAUCUUAUAGGAAUCAAGGGGAAUGACUUGACUAAAAGGUAUGUCUUAUAGGAAUCAAGGGAGAUGACUCGACUAAAAGGUACAUCUUAUAGGAAUCAAAGGGAUGACUCAACUAAAAGGUACGUCUUAUAGGAUUCAAGGGAGAUGACUCGACUAAAAGGUACGUCUUAUAGGAAUCAAGGGAGAUGACUUGACUAAAAGGUACAUCUCAUAGGAAUCAAGAGGGAUGACUCGACUAAAAGGUACGUCUUAUAGGAAUCAAGGGAGAUGACUCGAAUAAAAUUUACAUCUUAUAGGAAUCAAGGGGGAUGACUCAACUAAAAGGUACGUCUUAUAGGAAUCAAGGGGGAUGACUCGACUAAAAGGUACGUCUUAUAGGAAUCAAGGAAGAUGACUCGACUAAAAGGUACGUCUUAUAGGAAUCAAGGGAGAUGACUAAAAUAAAGGUACAUCUUAUAGGAAUCAAGGGGGAUGACUCGACUAAAAGGUACAUCUUAUAGGAAUCAAGGGAGAUGACUUGACUAAAAGGUACGUGUUCUAGGGGUCAAGGGGAAUGCCUCAACUAAAAGAAACGUCUUAUAGAAAUCAAUAGCACGACUCGACUAAAAGCUAUGUCUUCUAGGAGUGAAGGUUCAAUUUUAAGAAGUGUAUCACCUAGCAAACGAAAACUGAAAUCCCUAGACAAGAAAGUGUGUCUCCUGGGGAUAUAGCAUGAUGAAUUUUUACCAUGAUUUGACUAUCAAAACUGUGCACUAAUAUUGUUUCCUGCAUUUGUAAAAGUGAGGCAUUGCAUCCCCUGAUAUUUAUGCUCUGAAGUCCUUACUUUGAAGGUAAUAUGUUUCCUGUUUCAUCAAAGAAAACUUGUGAGUUUAAAACAUUGUGGCUGCUUUAUGGCUUUAGCUUUCGCGGUGAUCGCUCUUGCCCUUGUCAUAUUUAACCUUCCUUCCAACCAUUAGCAUAUGCCAUUGACUUGUCGCUUCAUUGACUCAAACUCAGAUGAUUAAGAAAAACUCUGAAACAAACAUAAUAUCUCUGCUUUGCUAUGUUUCUCAGACAAACCCUUUGAACCUUGGUAUUACCAUGAGUUCCCCGACUUAUCUGUUGACAAAACUUUCUGCAUGUCCUUUUUUGGAUCACAAUCAUGUCUCUUUCAUGUGUUGGCUAUUGUCUUGCUUUGUGCAAUUAAAGAAGCUGGCAACCAGUUUUGAAAUCUUUUCUCACUUAUGUUUUAUACAGACUUGACUCAAAGACAAGAGAAGAACCAAAUGACAAUGAUUUUUUAUAAAAAUAACUGACUCAAGAAAGAUAAAACAAAAAUAAAGAGAAGAAAGAAAAGACAAUAAAUGUCCCCCUUUGAAACAAAGAAACAAAAAUUUAUCUAAAAAUGACAGUCAACUUUAAUGAUUAUGCCAUGCAUUUUGGAUUAAGCUACCUGAUCUUUCCAUCCAAACUUUCUACCAAAUGUUAUUGACUUAAUGUCCUUGAAACUGAGUUUCUUCCUUAAGUCAAUUGCAUUUAAGACCUCAUUCGGUUAGUGGCGCCUUGAAGGGUUUUCUCCAACAAGCUUCUCUCAUUUUCUUUUCCUCAACUCACCAUUGCCUUAUGGUGACGGUGAGGUUUUUCACCAAUAAGGCUCUCUCAUUUUUGUUUCUCUCAAAUUACCAUCAUCUUACGGUGCCCGAAAAGAUUUUCACCAAUAAGACUCUCUCAUUUUUAUCUCUCUCAACUUACACCAUUGAGACUCUUUUUUUUCAUUUCUCUCUUGAUUUCCUAUGCUGAGGAAGACCAGCAGUUCCCAAAAUGUAUCAUCAUAUGCAUUGCAUGCUUAGCCUUAACAUUCUCAAAGAUUGAUCUGAAGGUCUUUCUUUGAUUGUAGCUUGCCUUUUGGAUAAGGUUAGAAAUAAAGGAUGACAUGAGGCCCAAACGACACUUGAAGUGGGGUAGGACUUACAACUUUUGGAAUUGACUCAAACAAUGAGGAUUAACUCAUGCCCCAGUUUUUUUUGACUGGGCAAUUCCAAACUUUAUUUAGUUGGACCGACCCCUGAGUAGGGCAGCCUACGUAUCUCACCCUCGAGAGAGGAGAAUCAGGUCAUACGUAGUUCUGGCAGCUUGUUCUUUUACUUGAUUCUAUUUUUUUUUCUUUUGUUGAAUCUUUUUCUCUUUGGGACUUUUCUGACUUUAUGACACUCAUCUUUUCUUUCUUUUUCGACACAUUUUUUGAAUUCUGCUGACUCUAUCUUGAUUUCAAAAGAGAGGUAUGAAAAAAAAUAACACUAAGGCCCAAAUGGGGUAAAUAAAAGAUGACACAAUGUUUGGAUAGCAGAAUAAAAUGCCUUCGUUAUAUCAAUUCUUGAAAAUGCUAGUACAUAGCAUGCAAUGCGAAAGUGCACAAUCAAGAUCACUUAUGAAAUGUUUUAUAACACUAACUUGCCCCGAGCAUGUGUGCCACUUCUUUUUCUACACUUGUCCAGCAUACAACUCCACUUUGUUGUACAUUCCUAAUGCUGAAGGACUCAUGACUUUGUGGAGCUAAUUUUCUUCCUGUUCCUUUUGACAUAGGAUCAAACAUUCAUUACUUGACCUAAUUGAGAUAUGUCUUUCAAUUGAUGAUCAAGUUAUUCUCACGAUUCUCAAAAUAAUAGCCUUAAUUUUCAAAGAAGGCUUCAACUUGAUCACCAAAUGCCCCAGCACUCUAUGUAUUUUCUCAGAUGCUCUCUUUUUCUAACUUUAACCCUCUGAUUCAAUGUUCAUGCUUAAACUCGAUUUUAAGAUCUGGCUGAAAAUUUCACUAGCAUGCCAUAUCACUAGAGUCAACAUAAAAUGUACUAUGCAAAGAAAACAAACAAACAAACAACACAUAUUUAAAUCACAAAGAAAAUGGGACACUUCAUUUAAUAAAAAUGAAAGAUAGAAGGGUUUGAACAUAACGACAAAGGAACAAAAUAAGAUAGAUUCCGAACUACAACCUUGAAAUAAUUUGGAUAACAGGAAAUAAAAUAAAACAAACUACCAGACCUCUUCCAAGUAGGUAGGGAUGACUUCUCAAUUGCUCAGCCUGACAUCUUAGCCACUGUUUUGCAUAUCAGCAUGACUAGAGCUUUCCUCACUGUCAAUGUUCUACACCAUAAUUGAUUUAUCUUGAAUCAUCUUUUCAAUUUCUCUUUUCAAAGCAUGACAAUCUUUAAUAUUGUGACCCUGAACAUUAGAAUAAUAUGCACAUCGUAUAUUAGGAUCAAAACUUCUUGAAUGUGGGUCAGGAGUAUACCCAAAGAGAGGAGUAAUCAUGCCCUGCUAUACCAAUCUCUAGAAUAAACUGGCAUAGGAUUCCCCAAUAGGAGAGAAAUUAUUUUUUUCCUUCCUCCUCUUUGCGAACUCUGGCCUUGAAUAAAACUUAGAUUUAGAGGUUCCUUGGUAAAUUUGUGGGGGUCAAGGAUGAUGUUGAGGGACAGGUGCAUGUCAUUGUGGAUAAGAAGAUGGAUGAGCAUACAAUUGUGCAUUGUUCAAAGGAUAUUGAGGAAGUAGAAUGAGAUUUCUUCGAUUUUGGAGAAAGAAACCUUGUUGCAAGUGGUUAUGUGGAUCUAAUAUAUAAGCUCGGGAUUGAGGCUGACAGUAUUGGUGGGUUGGACCUCUCAAACUCUGUUUUGGCCCUGGCAUGACAAUAGGUGCAUUUUUCUUCUUCUUUCCUUCAGUUUCCCUUGGUUGAUUGCAAUGUCAUCUCAAAUGUUUCACAGAAUCCUUCUGUCCAUCAGGCUCCCCAAAUUUUGAUGUCUUACAGCUGGGAGGAAAGUUAACACUUGAAGACAUGUCCCAGUUUUUAUAUGAAACAUCUUCAUAGCCCAUAAGUCCAGGGAAAUUUUUCAUAUUAUUUUCUACACUCUUAACUUUCCCAACCACUUUCUCUAGCUCUUCUAGCAUGCUAGGCUUCUUAGUAAGAAAUUUUGGCGGUCCAUUUAAUUUAACGGUAGGCUCAAGAGUAUAAAAAUGAUCAUCAAGAGUAUUGAACGUAGAUUCACUAGUGGACUGGGGAAGCACAAUCGUUGGAUUGAUAGCCAAAGUGGAAGUCUUAGUAGAAGGUUGAGAAACAAAAGCACAGACGGUAUGUGGUGCUGUAAAUGUGGUAGAAUUAUACUGAGGAUCUAAAGAAAGAGUGGUGGAAGUAUUGAGGUGCAUUUGACGUGGAAUGGAUUCUGAGGCAUGCUGUGGUGCAUCAACAACAGUAGGAAACUGACUUUGUGAUUUUGGUGGAAGAUUCAAGGUAUUUGCUGGGUCAAAAGUGAGGAACAGAGGUGAAGGCAGCCCAUUGGCCCAAGCUCAGUACAUUUCCAUCAUUUGUUGUCUCAGUCUCAAAUUCUCUUCCGUUAAACUCUCAAUUUCCUGACUCUUUGUUUCAUCCAUGGUGUCACUCUCUAUAUCCUUGUUGGACACAACUAAACCUUCCUUGGAUUUGGUGUGAUAUGGAGGACCAGCCAGGAAGCCACAAACCAACCACCUUAAACUAACUGAACAAAAGGCAACAAAUAUGUUAAAGUUCAACAUUUUUUCAAAACCUCUUUUUUAAAAAGAUCACCGAACCCAAGAAGGGCGCCUACGUAUCUCACUCCCGAGAGAGGAGAAUCAACUGUGCGUAGUUCGUAAAGUCGUGCCAAAAUGGCCAAUUGAACUCUUUGUUUUCUUUCGUUUUUUUCUUUUUCUCGAAACUUUAAGAAGAAAAAAAAAAUAACAAUUUGUCAAAAGAAUUGACGAAAAUAUUUUUGAAUUUUUCAUCUUUAACAUCCCUAUACAAAGUAAAUCUAUGAUUACCAAAGAAAAUCUUUUUGGGUUUACAGUUUUAAAUUUCAUAUGAAAAUAAAAUUCGAACCUAUUAAAAGAAAAUCUUUUGUGAUUUUCUUUUAAAGAUAUAUAUGACAUCCACUCUAAAUGAAGAGUGAAGGAAAUAUUUUGAAUUUUUUAUAUUUCUAUACAAAAUGAAAUCUAUGAUUACCAAAGAAAAUAUCUUUUUGGAUUUCCGAUUUUGAAUUUCAUAUGACAAAGAAAUUUAAAACUAUUAAAGAAAAAAAUUUUCUUUUUUCUUUUAAAGAUUUAUAUGGAACACCUAAUAUAAAUAAAGAGUGAACAAAAUAUUUUUGAAUUUUUGAAAUAAGAUCCCCAAACCAACAAUAGGCUGCCUACGUAUCUCACAUCCCGAAAGAGGAGAAUCAGGGGUGCAUAGUUCGUCCAGAUUGGACAAUUAAUGAUUAAAUCACAGAUUGCACCCUGACUUGAGAUACGACCAAAGACUCACGAUGAACAACAUAACAAAAUCUUUUUUUUGAGUUUUCAAUUUGACACUUCACAUAAAAAAUGACACCAACAGCUAUGAAAGAAAAUCUUUUUGGUAUUUUCGCUAUAUGAAAUGUACAAAACUUCUACCAUAUUUUUGGAUUUUAUAAAAAGCUCCUAUUAAAAGAAAUUUUUUUUGAAAUUUUCAAAUUAUGGAAGCUUAUUAAAGAAACAAAGAAAAAUCUUUUUGAUAUUUUUGUCUUUGACAAAAUGAAUGCAAAAGUUAAAAAAAAAUCUUUUUGAAUUUUUAAAUUGUGAAAAACAAAAGCCAUAAAGAACUCUAAAAACUACAACACUCAUUUUUUUUCUUUUCGACACACUUUUUUUCUUUUUUUUUUCAAACACACCUUACUUCUAACACAUGUUUUCUCCGAAUCAGUCCAUCAAAUGACCAAGUUACCCUCAAAGAUGCAACAUUUAGCACAUAGGGAUGCUAGGUCUCAAUAUGAUGCACAUAAGUAUGACCUAAAGGCUGACCUAUGCUUGGCUUUACUAACAAGGCUGUUCGGGGGAGCAUAUGGUCGAUAGUGGUUGCUUUGCUUUCCACCCACUCCAUACGUCCGACGGCUCCCCCUCCUAAAAUAAGGAUGACUCAACUAGAGUUUGUGCGCAUGACGUACACUCCGGUACUUGUUGUAGAAAGAAUUGACUCAGGUUAUGCACAUGAUGUCAGAUAUAAAGCGGUAACACGCAAGAGAAAAAACUGUAAACACGUAGCACGUAGGCACUCAACAAUGAUAAAAUAAACGACAAACAAUAACACAAAACAACACAAACAAUGUCUAUACACCCAUAAUGUCAAACCAAGCCGAUACAGCUCCAAAAAUUAGCUCGAAUUCUGAAAAAUCCCCAGCAGAGUUGCCAAAGCUGUCACACCCCUUUUUUACCAAAAAGAUAUGGUUUAAGGUUCGAAAGGAUUUUUAUUAUUAAGUGACAAAAAUAUAAAAAUUUAUUUCGAAAAGGACUUUUUAUAUUCAAAACUCAGAGUCGCCACUUGGUAUAAAUCGGAUGUGUCAAGUCACCCGUGGAUAUCCUUUUUCAAAAUAGUUUUGACUCUGUAACACUGAUCCGCGAACAGAGAUUUCGGCUAAGGAAUUCUGUUGACCGAGGGAAAGGUGUUAGGCACCCCUCGAUCCCAUAGUUCGACCACGGUUGCUUGGUGGAGCGUAUCAGCUAAUUUAACAUUAUAAAUGUAUAAACCACAUAAACACACGAAACAAGCAAACAAACAAAUCAAACAAAAUUCAAAACUAAAAUAAUGUCCAGUACGUCGGGGCAUUCCCCGAUGAAUAAAUACAUGAAACCUCGGGGAAUUUCCCAUCCCAUUGCAUACAUUUGAAUCAAGUACGAUAAACUAGAAAAUAUUCACCACACAUUCAAAUUUUCAACAUUCAACGAUAUCCCUAAAUUCGUCUACCCGAACCUAACUUUGCCUAUUAAACUCUCGGACUAAAAUAUGCUCCUAUCGAGUUCACAAACAUUCCGAAUUAAACAAAACAACAAUAAACAAAAAAUUAAAAUAAAUUCACCUUUUUUAUCAAUUUCUCAAUUUCACCCCAAAUUUCAUUCUCUAACAUGCUUAAACCAAUUCAAUACGCAAUCCAUCAAUCAAGUUUUCAUAUCCAAAUCCAACAUCAACCAACACAUAACGAAAAUUCAAGCAUGCCAAACACACAAAUCACUUAUAAUUGCGUAAAAAUUAAAAGGGAGAGAAGAUAGAAUUGGACCUCAACGCCGCUUUCAAAAUCAAUGUACUAUUCCGAUUAACUCCCGUAGAAUCUGUGUCCGAAAUCUCGAGUCGAACCUCAAACAAUGAGCAGCCCAACUUCAGUAUACUUUUUUUAAUUUCUAUUUUUCGCCAACCUGAAUCAAAUUGCGAAGUAACGAUAAAACCGUACCCGUCACUGUUCACGAUACUGUUCACCGUCACUGUUCACGAUACUGUUCACAACACUGUUCACCUUCACUGUUCAUGACACUCCCAUCGUCCAGACCUUUUUCUCUCUCGAUUUUUUUCUCUCGCGCGAUUCCCUCUUCUCUCCCUCGGUUUUUCUGUUCUUGUGAGGAAGAUGAUGGGUGGAGAAUUGUUGGUUUGUGUGUGUGGAUUGUUAUCUUGCUCUCAAAGAUGGAAGACAAAUGGAGGAUUUUUUUUUUCUUGUGAGAAAGAUGAUAAGAAAAAACAAAGAAA
This 9473-nucleotide long non-coding RNA is filed under the name Capsicum annuum. RNAcentral describes it as "long non-coding RNA (CANN_LNC007865)". Lineage: Eukaryota; Viridiplantae; Streptophyta; Magnoliopsida; Solanales; Solanaceae. The record is from RNAcentral.